CCUACGGGGGGCUGCAGUGGGGAAUAUUGCACAAUGGGGGAAACCCUGAUGCAGCAACGCCGCGUGAAUGAUGACGGCCUUCGGGUUGUAAAGUUCUUUGAUUGGGGACGAAAAUGACGGUACCCAAAAAACAAGCCACGGCUAACUACGUGCCAGCAGCCGCGGUAAUACGUAGGUGGCGAGCGUUGUCCGGAUUUACUGGGCGUAAAGGAUGCGUAGGUGGUAACUUAAGUGGGAUGUGAAAUCCCCGGGCUCAACCCGGGAACUGCAUUCCAAACUGAGUAACUAGAGUGCAGGAGAGGAAAGCGGAAUUCCUAGUGUAGCGGUGAAAUGCGUAGAUAUUAGGAGGAACACCAGUGGCGAAGGCGGCUUUCUGGACUGUAACUGACACUGAGGCAUGAAAGCGUGGGGAGCAAACAGGCUUAGAUACCCCGGUAGUC
RNAcentral lists this ribosomal RNA (440 nucleotides) under uncultured Proteiniclasticum sp. RNAcentral describes it as "bacterial SSU rRNA". It matches the Rfam family "Bacterial small subunit ribosomal RNA", at positions 338 to 795 of the family's 1533-position model. Lineage: Bacteria; Bacillati; Bacillota; Clostridia; Eubacteriales; Clostridiaceae. The record is from RNAcentral.